GAGUAGAGAUGAGAUAGAGAAAGAGGGAGAGAUACUGAAAGAUGGCGUGGGGGACAGAAGACGAGGGGACUGAGAGGAGAGGGGAAAUGCGGCAGUCAUCUCCCAGACGUCGUGGCGUGCGUACGCACAGUUCGGCUCUCUCGUCCGCCUACACGCUACCACGCCCUUGCGUCUCGCAUGGAAGAUAGGCGUUGUGACGGUCCGGGUAAUAUGUGAUAUAGUACGAAAGAGGUGUUCCAUUGAUGAGAUUGAAUCGCAAUUUGGAUGCAGUUGACUGCAUCUUGUUCACAAGAUUUUAGUGAAAGUAAGAAAUAAA
Molecule: long non-coding RNA, 316 nt
Filed under: Penaeus japonicus
Lineage: Eukaryota; Metazoa; Arthropoda; Malacostraca; Decapoda; Penaeidae
Description: uncharacterized LOC122244507
Source: RNAcentral